RNAcentral lists this ribosomal RNA (1494 nucleotides) under metagenome. RNAcentral's name for it is "bacterial SSU rRNA". It matches the Rfam family "Bacterial small subunit ribosomal RNA". The record is from RNAcentral.
AGAGUUUGGUCCUGGCUCAGAUUGAACGCUGGCGGUAUGCUUAACACAUGCAAGUCGAACGGUAACAGGUCUAGCUUGCUAGAUGCUGACGAGUGGCGGACGGGUGAGUAACGCGUAGGUAUCUGUCUAUGAGAGUGGGACAACACGGGGAAACUCGUGCUAAUACCACAUACGUUCUACGGAAGAAAGGCUGGGUUAAACCAGUCGCUCAUAGGGGAGCCUGCGUUGGAUUAGCUAGUUGGUGGGGUAAAGGCCUACCAAGGCGACGAUCCAUAGCUGUUCUGAGAGGAAGAUCAGCCACACUGGGACUGAGACACGGCCCAGACUCCUACGGGAGGCAGCAGUGGGGAAUAUUGGACAAUGGGCGCAAGCCUGAUCCAGCAAUACCGCGUGUGUGAAGAAGGCCUGAGGGUUGUAAAGCACUUUCAGCGAGGAGGAAGGUCACAGUGUUAAUAGCACUGUGGUUUGACGUUACUCGCAGAAGAAGCACCGGCUAACUCUGUGCCAGCAGCCGCGGUAAUACAGAGGGUGCAAGCGUUAAUCGGAAUUACUGGGCGUAAAGAGUGCGUAGGCGGAUUAUUAAGUCAUAUGUGAAAUCCCCGGGCUUAACCUGGGAAUUGCGUCUGAUACUGGUAGUCUAGAGUGUGGUAGAGGGCAGUGGAAUUUCCGGUGUAGCGGUGAAAUGCGUAGAUAUCGGAAGGAACACCAGUGGCGAAGGCGACUGCCUGGGCCAACACUGACGCUGAGGUACGAAAGCGUGGGUAGCGAACAGGAUUAGAUACCCUGGUAGUCCACGCCGUAAACUAUGAGGACUAGCUGUUGGACACAUUAAAGUGUCAAGUAGCGCAGCUAACGCGAUAAGUUCUCCGCCUGGGGAGUACGGCCGCAAGGCUAAAACUCAAAGGAAUUGACGGGGGCCCGCACAAGCGGUGGAGCAUGUGGUUUAAUUCGAUGCAACGCGAAAAACCUUACCUACCCUUGACAUCCUUGGAAUCCUGUAGAGAUACGGGAGUGCUUCGGACCCAAGAGACAGGUGCUGCAUGGCUGUCGUCAGCUCGUGUCGUGAGAUGUUGGGUUAAGUCCCGUAACGAGCGCAACCCCUAUACUUAGUUGCUAAUUGCGAAAGCGAUGCACUUUAAGUAGACUGCCGGUGACAAACCGGAGGAAGGUGGGGAUGAUGUCAAGUCAUCAUGGCCCUUAUGGGUAGGGCUACACACGUGCUACAAUGGGCAGUACAGAGGGAGUUGAAGCCGCGAGGUGAAACGAAUCUCAGAAAACUGUUCGUAGUCCGGAUUGGAGUCUGCAACUCGACUCCAUGAAGUUGGAAUCGCUAGUAAUCGCGAAUCAGCAUGUCGCGGUGAAUACGUUCCCGGGCCUUGUACACACCGCCCGUCACACCAUGGGAGUGGGUUGUACCAGAAGUAGGUAGGCUAACCGUAAGGAGGCCGCUUACCACGGUAUGAUUCAUGACUGGGGUGAAGUCGUAACAAGGUA